GUCUGAAAAUUGCAUACCAGAAAAUCCCUGGCUGGACUGCAAGUGGCACAACAAAGAAUUGGGAUUCAAAACACAGUUAAUUCCUCCACACAAGUGGAACUUUAUUUGAUGGGAAAGAAAAAUAUAAUAACUAAGGAAGAGAGACUCUGCCGUCCCAAGAAUGGAUGGAAUGCCACACCAUAUCAUCUGUCACCCCAGGCACAUGUUUGCUCCGCUGGUGCCUGGAGCCGACCCUGUAUGAUUUCCUAACAAGCAUGAGAUUUCGUCUGCAAAACAAGACUUGCAGUUAUCAGACAACACAGUUACGAGGAG
Mauremys mutica (yellowpond turtle) is the source of this 312-nucleotide long non-coding RNA. RefSeq lists it as uncharacterized. The transcript has 3 exons. Lineage: Eukaryota; Metazoa; Chordata; Testudines; Geoemydidae. The record is from RefSeq and is a predicted model, not a curated record.